ACAACAGGGGAGCCUGCAGGAGCAGGCUGAGAGUAAGCUGUAACGCUUUGACCCAUAACCUGAUUUGGAUAAUGCCAACGUAGGGAGAUACGGUUG
RNAcentral lists this non-coding RNA (96 nucleotides) under uncultured Butyricicoccus sp. The record is from RNAcentral. Lineage: Bacteria; Bacillati; Bacillota; Clostridia; Eubacteriales; Butyricicoccaceae.